AUGCAGUCAGUCACCGUUCUGCCCCACGUUAUCCAGAGCACCGAUCGUCCUUCAGAGCAUCGAUCCGAGCACCGUAGUGAACCCGCACGAGAAGAUGCACGCCAGGGACGUGGGGAAAGUGGCCCGAGGGGAGCAGGCGCCGAGGCCGCCGCACGAGCCCGGCAGCGUAGCCGACUCGCCGCCGCCGCCUACGUCGAGCUGCGCACUGCGCCCUGCGACUUCCGGUUCCCGACCCAGAACCAGACGCGCCACUGCUGCGUGCGCUACCUCGAGUACCACCGGUGCAUGAAGGUCAAGGAGGGUGACACGUCGGAGUGCGGCAAGUUCCAGCGCUACUACAGAUCUCUCUGCCCCACGGAUUGGGUAAGCAGGUUCAUUCAGGUUCCGGUGCAUAAUACUAUGCUGCUUCUUCUGCCUCGGGUCUCCAUCGUCGUCGGCUGUUAA
RNAcentral lists this ribosomal RNA (444 nucleotides) under Triticum aestivum (bread wheat). RNAcentral describes it as "partial small subunit ribosomal RNA". Lineage: Eukaryota; Viridiplantae; Streptophyta; Magnoliopsida; Poales; Poaceae. The record is from RNAcentral.